This is a long non-coding RNA of Trifolium pratense (red clover), 1227 nucleotides long. RefSeq lists it as uncharacterized. The transcript is spliced from 6 exons. Lineage: Eukaryota; Viridiplantae; Streptophyta; Magnoliopsida; Fabales; Fabaceae. The record is from RefSeq and is a predicted model, not a curated record.
CAUCUGUGGAACAUAUGUCAGAUGUAAUAAGCUAUAUGGAGUAGGGUUUUCAUCUGGUUUCAAUAUCCACAGAAGUGAAAAAUACAUAGACACAACUUUUUACAUCUGGUCAUAAUAUAAUCAGAAGCAAAGCUGAAUGCGGUGGCAAUCCUGUAAUUAUGGUGAGAAUUGUGUAACUCGCAGUACUAUCAUGAUCUCACUCAUCUCUCUCACGCACUGCUCACUCGAUUUCUCUCACUUCUCACUCGAACCCUAGCGGCCUUAUCUCUCUCACGAUCGAUCUCGUCUUCUCUCUCACUAAUCUCACUCGAACUCGGCGGCGUCAUCUCUCUCACCGACCUCACGUACUCGCUCAUCUUUGUCGUCUCUCUGUCUCACUGAAACACGAAUUGAUGGCUGAAUCGGAAAUUCCAAAACCCAGUGAAACAUGAAUUGAAGGUUGAAGCACUCAUAUCUGUCUUCUCUCUCGUUUCAUCUUCUCUAGCCCUAAACCCAGAGAAAAGAAAGCAUACAAGAGUUUUCGCACACGAAGAAAGCUACCUGAGUAUGCAAUUCUUCUUGAACAAAUCUGGUGAAGCUUUUAGAUUUUGUUGAACUAAAGCAGCUCGAUACCUUUCUUUGACAUUGAGAAACAUGAAACUACGAUUUUGCGUUGGUCUAUAGCUAGGACAAUAGCUACUAAGGACCAGUUGCAGCAAACAGAAGUGGAUUGUGCGUAUUUGAAUAGAUGUUGUGAGAUACUGACAGAAGAGACUAAGAGUUUACAUAAAGAACUUCAAAUUUGGAGCAGUUUCUCUCGGGUUCAUUUUGUUAUUGUACUAGUAAGCAUUCUGCUUAGUUGAAUGAUUGAAGAAGGGAUCCAGACUAUGAGAAACAAUUGGGAUAUUGAUGGAAGCAAUUUGUUGGAUAUCUAUGCAGAUUGUAGGUGUUCAAUGAUCCCACGACAUUAACAGAGGAGGAGUUGUAUGAUUUGCGAGACCGCUGGGCAACUUGUUUUCUUCAACUAUAUAAUCCCGAGGUAGAUUAUGAUGAUGCCGACGAGAAAGAUUAGGAGCUAGCUAGGUUUGUGUGAAGUUACAAUGGACUAGUUAUGAUGAUGUUUUAAUUUGUAUUUUGGAUGGAUUAGUAUUAAUUAUUAUGAUGUUUUGUAUUUUGGAUUACAAUGUGGUUGUACUUUAAUGACAUUAUUACUAUAUAUAUGUUGAAUGUUGAAUUUGAAUUUGGCUA